Molecule: ribosomal RNA, 253 nt
Filed under: uncultured bacterium
Lineage: Bacteria
Description: partial 16S ribosomal RNA
Rfam family: Bacterial small subunit ribosomal RNA
Source: RNAcentral
UACAGAGGUCUCAAGCGUUGUUCGGAUUCAUUGGGCGUAAAGAGCGUGUAGGCGGUCCGGUAAGUCCGCUGUGAAAGUCGGGGGCUCAACCCUCGAAUGCCGGUGGAUACUGUCGGGCUAGAGUGCGGAAGAGGCGAGUGGAAUUCCUGGUGUAGCGGUGAAAUGCGCAGAUAUCAGGAGGAACACCUAUUGCGAAGGCAGCUCGCUGGGACGUAACUGACGCUGAGACGCGAAAGCGUGGGGAGCAAACAGG